UUUACAUCCUUGAGUGGUUGAGCCAUCCUUCGAUUUACACAGAUAAGGCGUUUGAGGAUCUUUUAAGAACAUUCAGUUCAUAAAUUGUUGGAUAUUUUCAUAUUUAUGUAUUUGAUGCUGAGCCCAAGCAGCUUUCUUCACAACUGUCCCAGCCAUCAAGUUGGUUUUACUUCAGCCUUUUGUUCCAACCGAAGUUCUCUACUUCGGUUUGG
This is a long non-coding RNA of Cynara cardunculus var. scolymus (artichoke), 212 nucleotides long. RefSeq lists it as uncharacterized. The record is from RefSeq and is a predicted model, not a curated record. NCBI's taxonomy places the organism in Eukaryota, Viridiplantae, Streptophyta, Magnoliopsida, Asterales, Asteraceae. The transcript has 3 exons.